RNAcentral lists this ribosomal RNA (648 nucleotides) under Sarcogyne pruinosa. RNAcentral's name for it is "SSU rRNA". It matches the Rfam family "Bacterial small subunit ribosomal RNA", at positions 382 to 1115 of the family's 1533-position model. The record is from RNAcentral. Lineage: Eukaryota; Fungi; Ascomycota; Lecanoromycetes; Acarosporales; Acarosporaceae.
CUAGUUGUAUUAACUAUUAGUUAAUACAAGAUCGACUAUGUCGACUAAAGUUCUAGGUAGAACAAUGAUGAUGACAAUUUUCUACCUAUAUGUCUUGACCAAAUCUCGUGCCAGCAGUCGCGGUAAUACGUGAAAGACUAGUGUUAUUCAUCUUUAAUAGGUUUAAAGGGUACCUAGACGGUUUAUCUAGCCCAAAACAGGGUACGGAUUUUCUAGAGUUUUAUGUGAGGAGGGGAGUACUCAUAGAGUAGAGAUGAAAUUUUGUGAUACUAUGGGGAAACUGGUGGCGGCGAAAGCAACCUUCUAUGUAUAAACUGACGUUGAGGGACGAAGGCUUGGGUAGCAAAUAGGAUUAGAUACCCUAGUAGUCCAAGCAGACAAUUCUGAAUGCCAUAGAUUAGAUUUUUUUGGUCUAUAAAUGAAAGUGUAAGCAUUCCACCUUAGGAGUAAUGUGGCAACACAGGAACUGAAAUCAUUAGACCGUUUCUGAAACCAGUAGUGAAGUAUGUUAUUUAAUUUGUUAGUCCUCAAAAAACCUUACCACAACUUGAAUGUUAUUUAAUUAAUACAAGCGUUGCACGGCUGUCUUCAGUUAAUGUCGUGAGAUUUUGGUUAACUCCCUCAAUUAACGUAAACCCUUACUUUAUU